GAUGAACGCUGGCGGCGUGCCUAAUACAUGCAAGUCGAGCGAACAGACGAGGAGCUUGCUCCUUUGACGUUAGCGGCGGACGGGUGAGUAACACGUAGGUAACCUACCUAUAAGACUGGGAUAACUUCGGGAAACCGGAGCUAAUACCGGAUAAUAUUUCGAACCGCAUGGUUCGAUAGUGAAAGAUGGCUUUGCUAUCACUUAUAGAUGGACCUCGGCCGUAUUAGGUGGUUGGUAGGGUAACGGCUUUCCAAGGCAAGGAUACGUAGACGACGUGAGAGGGUGGUCGGCCACACUAGAACGGAGACGCGGUCCAUACUCCUACGGGAGGCAGCAGUAGGGAAUCGGACGCAGCAGGCGAAAGCCUUACGGAGCGACGCCAAGUGAGUGAUAGAAAUCUUCGGAUCGGAAAACUCUGUUAUUAGGGAAGAACAAACUUGUAAGUAACUGUGCACGGCUUGACGGUACCGAAUCAGAAAGCCACGGCUAACUACGUG
Molecule: ribosomal RNA, 497 nt
Filed under: uncultured bacterium
Lineage: Bacteria
Description: partial 16S ribosomal RNA
Rfam family: Bacterial small subunit ribosomal RNA
Source: RNAcentral